This 40-nucleotide ribosomal RNA is filed under the name Fusarium oxysporum. Its description in RNAcentral is "partial 18S ribosomal RNA". Lineage: Eukaryota; Fungi; Ascomycota; Sordariomycetes; Hypocreales; Nectriaceae. The record is from RNAcentral.
AAUUUAGGGGUCUCGUUGGUGACCAGCGGAGGGAUCAUUA